Molecule: long non-coding RNA, 779 nt
Organism: Salvia miltiorrhiza (redroot sage)
Lineage: Eukaryota; Viridiplantae; Streptophyta; Magnoliopsida; Lamiales; Lamiaceae
Exons: 2
Source: RefSeq, a predicted model, not a curated record
GGUGUUGUUUUUGCGCGAAUCCGUGCAUCGUAGAUCAAACCCAUAUCUAAAUAUUUAAGGACUAUGUAAAAUAUUACUAAUAGUGCUAAUAUAUAAAAGUGCCCAAGUUUGUAAAAGGAUAUUUAGACUAUACCCACUUUAUUCAAACAAUUUACUACAUGACCAUGUUAAUAUUUUAUUAAUUUUCCUGUACACUGAUUCCUGCCCCAAUAUCUAUGUUCUACUUUUAACAUGUGUGCUGACACAAUAUUCAUUCUCAUUUGACCGAUUUUAUGGGGAACAGUUAUGGGUAGAUAGAUUUGUCAUUAUUAUGUCUUGAAUUUGAAUUGCCCCAAAUCUCUCUACCCAUUUCAUCCGCAUAGUUGGGGUACUUUGCGUGAAUCUAUAUUUUGUUUGCUUGCGGAAGAUAGCUUAUUUUCUCUGCGGAAUAUUUGAAAAAUCAAGGUCGUUCGUUGCGGCGCCGGAGAAGAUGGAAGCAUCGGCGGAGGGGCCUCUUACGCUGUUGAGACCGAACACUAUCAAUGUAACGUCCAACGUGGGCACUUAUUACAAAAUCAAGUAUUUAGAAAUGGUUAAGAGAAUUUUAAAAGAAAAAGGUGGUCAAGGACUAUUAGAUAGAUAUUUAAAUGGUUGUUUUGGAUAUUUGUUGGAUUGGAAUCCUGGUCCAAAAUGUGAAAUGGUCGUGCAUCAUUUAGUGUCUCGUCAAAUUAAGUCCAACGGGGAUGGUAUAUAUUUUUUUUAUUGAAUAAUACCAGGGUGCAUUUUUCUAGGAGAGAUUA